UACGAGGGGGGCAAGCGUUGUUCGGAAUUAUUGGGCGUAAAGGGUGCGUAGGCGGUUUGGUAAGUCUGAUGUGAAAUCUAUGGGCUCAACUCAUAGUCUGCAUCGGAAACUGCCGGGCUUGAGUGUGGGAGAGGUGAGUGGAAUUCCUGGUGUAGCGGUGAAAUGCGUAGAUAUCAGGAGGAACACCUGUGGCGAAAGCGGCUCACUGGACCAUAACUGACGCUGAUGCGCGAAAGCUAGGGGAGCAAACAGG
This 253-nucleotide ribosomal RNA is filed under the name uncultured bacterium. RNAcentral describes it as "partial 16S ribosomal RNA". It matches the Rfam family "Bacterial small subunit ribosomal RNA", at positions 524 to 776 of the family's 1533-position model. The record is from RNAcentral.